Molecule: ribosomal RNA, 206 nt
Filed under: uncultured bacterium
Lineage: Bacteria
Description: partial 16S ribosomal RNA
Rfam family: Bacterial small subunit ribosomal RNA
Source: RNAcentral
CGUGUAGGCGGCCAAACAGGUCCGUUGUGAAAACUGGAGGCUUAACCUUCAGACGUCGACGGAAACCGUGUGGCUAGAGUCCGGAAGAGGAGAGCGGAAUUCCUGGUGUAGCGGUGAAAUGCGCAGAUAUCAGGAAGAACACCAAUGGCGAAGGCAGCUCUCUGGGACGGUACUGACGCUGAGACGCGAAAGCGUGGGAGCGAACA